UCUGGAGUUGCUGCAGUGUUUCUGGGGCUGCUGUGUGUUCUCCUACUGGCUGGGAUCAUAGGCCUGUCUGUCUACUAUAACAGAGCCAUUAAAGAUUCUGAGGAUAAAAGGAACAUCUUGUCCCAGAGUUUCUCCCUUUAUAAAAUCAACACAACUUCAGAGAGAGACCAGCUACAGACCAGAUACAACAACCUGACUGAAGAGAAAGGCCAUAUUCAAGCCAAGCUUUUUGUGAUAGAGCAGCAUUGUCAGGAGGGAUGGAGAUACUCUGACUCCAGUUUGUACUUCCUGUCUACUGAGAAGAAAACCUGGGAGGAGAGCAGACAGGACUGUCUGGGGAGAGGAGCAGACCUGGUGAUCAUAAACAGCAGAGAGGAACAGACAUUUGUCUUCAACCUCCACCUGAGUGCCUGGAUUGGUCUGACUGACUCUGUUACUGAGGGGAUCUGGAAGUGGGUGGAUGGCACAACACUGACCACAGGGUACUGGUGGAAAGGACAGCCUGAUAAUUAUGGGCAGGAGGACUGUGCUGAGAUAAACUUUAGUAAAGGUGACCCUGUAACAACAUGGAAUGAUGACAAAUGUGGCGCAAAUAACAGCUGGAUCUGUGAGAAAGUGGUGUAACAAUCCCUCUCGCUCUAUCUCUCUCUCAUAUACAGUGUAUAUAUAUUGAUUGUUGGAUACAGUGCUGAAUGGUUAAGUGAUGAUUCCACCUGGUGGUUAAAGUGAGGGAUGAACUCACCAAAAAGUUGUAUUACAGAGUUGCCUACGGGCUCUUUUUUAAUGAGACCUUACUCAAUUCCUCCUCACACCCUCUCUCUUCGACUCCUUCUCCAAACACAUUAGAGAAUACAAUCCUAGGGGAGGGACCUUGGACCUUCUCCUCUAAUAGGGUUGAGAAGGAGGGGAGGAGAUAGGAGGAGAAGAGACAAGAGGAGAGGAAUCUAGGCUAAUUGAGAUAGAGCCUUAGUGUCAGAGAGAGAGGAGGAAGAAGAACAUUAAGAGAAUGAGGAAGAGAAAAAGUGAUUGUUGUGUUUAGAUUUAGAGGAGAAUAUGUAGACAUACUGUACUCUGUAAAAUGCUUCUUCCUUAUUUGUAUUAGAAACAUGUCAUGUGAUUUGCAGUAGGCUUAUGCUUAGUA
This is a non-coding RNA of Oncorhynchus mykiss (rainbow trout), 1141 nucleotides long. NCBI's taxonomy places the organism in Eukaryota, Metazoa, Chordata, Actinopteri, Salmoniformes, Salmonidae. The record is from RefSeq and is a predicted model, not a curated record.